This 24-nucleotide non-coding RNA is filed under the name Arabidopsis thaliana (thale cress). The record is from RNAcentral. Lineage: Eukaryota; Viridiplantae; Streptophyta; Magnoliopsida; Brassicales; Brassicaceae.
AGUCAUAAAACUCCCGCAAACGCA